This 205-nucleotide ribosomal RNA is filed under the name uncultured bacterium. RNAcentral's name for it is "partial 16S ribosomal RNA". It matches the Rfam family "Bacterial small subunit ribosomal RNA", at positions 524 to 727 of the family's 1533-position model. The record is from RNAcentral.
UACGUAGGGUGCAAGCGUUGUCCGGAAUUAUUGGGCGUAAAGAGCUUGUAGGCGGUUUGUCGCGUCUGCUGUGAAAUCUCAAGGCUCAACCUUGAGCUUGCAGUGGGUACGGGCAGACUAGAGUGUGGUAGGGGAGACUGGAAUUCCUGGUGUAGACGGUGAAAUGCGCAGAUAUCAGGAGGAACACCGAUGGCGAAGGCAGGUC